RNAcentral lists this ribosomal RNA (253 nucleotides) under uncultured bacterium. Its description in RNAcentral is "partial 16S ribosomal RNA". It matches the Rfam family "Bacterial small subunit ribosomal RNA", at positions 524 to 776 of the family's 1533-position model. The record is from RNAcentral.
GACGUAGGUGGCGAACGUUAUCCGGAAUUACUGGGCGUAAAGCGCGCGUAGGCGGACCUGCAAGUCGGGGGUGAAAGCCCGAGGCUCAACCUCGGAACUGCCUUCGAUACUGCGGGUCUCGAGUCCGGAAGAGGCGAGUGGAAUUCCUGGUGUAGCGGUGGAAUGCGCAGAUAUCAGGAGGAACACCGGUGGCGAAGGCGGGUCUCUGGGCAGUAACUGACGCUGAGGAGCGAAAGCGUGGGGAGCGAACAGG